This 329-nucleotide unclassified non-coding RNA is filed under the name soil metagenome. RNAcentral's name for it is "partial contains 5.8S ribosomal RNA, internal transcribed spacer 2, and large subunit ribosomal RNA". The stretch from base 1 to 120 matches the Rfam family "5.8S ribosomal RNA", at positions 35 to 154 of the family's 154-position model. The record is from RNAcentral.
GAUGAAGAACGCAGCGAAAUGCGAUAAGUAAUGUGAAUUGCAGAAUUCAGUGAAUCAUCGAAUCUUUGAACGCACAUUGCGCCCCCUGGUAUUCCGGGGGGCAUGCCUGUCCGAGCGUCAUUACAACCCUCAAGCUCAGCUUGGUGUUGGGCCCCACCGCCCCGGCGGGCCCUAAAGUCAGUGGCGGUGCCGUCCGGCUCCGAGCGUAGUAAUUCUUCUCGCUCUGGAGGUCCGGUCGUGUGCUCGCCAGCAACCCCCAAUUUUUUUCAGGUUGACCUCGGAUCAGGUAGGGAUACCCGCUGAACUUAAGCAUAUCAAUAAGCGGAGGA